CUGAAAAAAGCCUAUUCAAAGAUUUUUUUUUUUAAAGCAGGGGAACAUUUGCUAUAUUAAGAUCACACGUGUGUCUCCAGACCUAGUUCUUUCUCUAGGUCUGGUUUUAUAAAGACUGGUGGUAAAC
This 127-nucleotide small nucleolar RNA is filed under the name Ursus americanus (American black bear). Its description in RNAcentral is "Small nucleolar RNA SNORA72 (ENSUAMG00000000091.1)". It matches the Rfam family "Small nucleolar RNA SNORA72". From Rfam's summary of the family: U72 is a member of the H/ACA class of snoRNAs. The snoRNA gene is located in intron 4 of the ribosomal L30 protein gene in human, mouse and chicken. Lineage: Eukaryota; Metazoa; Chordata; Mammalia; Carnivora; Ursidae. The record is from Rfam by way of RNAcentral.